UACAGAGGUCUCAAGCGUUGUUCGGAUUCAUUGGGCGUAAAGGGUGUGUAGGUGGCGCCGUAAGUCGGGUGUGAAAUUUCGGAGCUUAACUCCGAAACUGCAUUCGAUACUGCGGUGCUUGAGGACUGGAGAGGAGACUGGAAUUCCUGGUGUAGCGGUGAAAUGCGUAGAUAUCAGGAGGAACACCGGUGGUGUAAACGGCUUUCAGGACCAUUUCUGACGCUGAGGCACGAAAGCGUGGGUAGCAAACAGG
Molecule: ribosomal RNA, 253 nt
Filed under: uncultured bacterium
Lineage: Bacteria
Description: partial 16S ribosomal RNA
Rfam family: Bacterial small subunit ribosomal RNA
Source: RNAcentral